This 9978-nucleotide long non-coding RNA is filed under the name Homo sapiens (human). RNAcentral's name for it is "non-protein coding lnc-INSIG1-2:2". The record is from RNAcentral. Lineage: Eukaryota; Metazoa; Chordata; Mammalia; Primates; Hominidae.
GGGAAUGGGUGUGUGUGUAUGAGUGUGUCUGUGUGGGAAUGGGUGUGAGUGGGGAAUGUGAGUGUGUGUGGGAAUAUGUGUGUGUGUAUGAGUGUGUCUGUGUGUGGGAAUGGGUGUGAGUGUGUGAGAGGCUCUUUCUCAAGACUGUAGGAGUGGGGGCUUCUCCAUGGGGACACUUUCAAAGGAGGAAGAAAGAACAAAGGAAGAAGGGUGGAUUUCACUCCUUUCCUUGGAAAUGAGUCAUGACUGAACAAUGAAUUUGGGGAAAUUUUAUUGAAUUUCAUGCCACGGCCUUGGUGCAGGCACCACAUGAUCUACUACAUUCGGGGCACAUAGGUGACGCCCCCCAGCUGUGAGGGCAGGUGCCCCGAGACUGGGUGUGUGCUGGGCAUUCCUGGCAGGCGUCACGUCCCCUUUGGCGGCAGAUUGCUCCUGUGGGGCACUCUCCACCGCCUUCAUGGGCCACGGUGAAUGCCAGCCGUGACAUCGGGGCAAGCUGCCCAUCGAGGAAGCCGAGUCGGCUGUCUGCUGACCUGGCAGCCAUGCCUGCUGGUGCUUCACUCCCUGCGAGCAAGGGGCUUAGGGACUGCUCUAAAGAUUGGGGUCAGAAUCCCAGACCCCAGGACCCCCCAUCCUGGCCCGUCCUCAGGGAGAGCUGCCAACAGGGUCCCCACCCGUUCCUUCCUCUGCUUUCUUUCCACACUUGGAGCCAGCUUUCUUUUUUGUUGUUACAAAACCUGUAUUGAAGAACAACAGACUCUAAGACAGAGGUCCCUCAAUGUCAUCACCAACCCCAUCCGUGUUGGCGUCGGCCCUGUGCCUCCUGUUCCUGCCCGUGUGCAUGUUCAUUUUUACAGAUUUAUAAUGACAAGAGAGGGUAUUGUCCUCUCUUCCCUAAGUUUAUGCCACGUGGACCUUCUCAUUUUCGCUGGUGCCUUCCUUUCUCAGGAACCUCUUUCCCCCGCUCCCUUCCCCCUACCCUGCUCCAUUCCCACCCCUCCCCCGCACCCUGCACACACCUUUCAUGCCCCUGCUCCUAUGAGCAAACACAGCAUGCGUGGGGAGGGUCUUCACUACGGCUUCUCCUCCGCAGCUUGCUUAAUUGCUCCGUGGUAAUCAGGACCAUCUCCCAGUUUGGGAACCGGAUUCCUUCUGGGAGGUGGGGGAGCUGGAGGGGUAGGAGCCUCAGAGGAGCUGGAGUCCUGCUGAGACGCCCCACCCCCAUCACCAUCAUCUCUCCCCCAUCUUAUUAGCAGGUUCCUGCCCCUGCACUUGGCGGUGUCUACCCAAGCUGCCUGAGCCGGCCAUGUGAGCAGCGCCUCCAGUACCGCCACAGUGAAAGGGAGGCCGAGCAUCCUGGAGCCCAUGAACCCACACAGCCCCCAUAAGCUGCCCAACAUCUUCUGGUGGUUUCUGUUCAACCCCAGAGACUCUUGGAGUUUACCUUAACACUGUCACCUUCCCAAACUCCAUGGAGGAGGGGCUGAGCCUCUUAGCAUCUUCUGGGACGGCCCCUUCCUCAUGGGGGUGGGUGGUGAGGGCGGUGCAGGGGGAGACUAGGAGGGCUCCUGCAUCUCCUGGUCCCUCUGUGGAUAAAUACACGGCCAGUGCCCCAGGCCUGGGUCCAUAUGAACACUCUCCCUCCCCCACCACCAGGAAAAGCAGUCACAGCUACAGGUGGGCAUCCUCCCCUCCUCCCCACUGUGCUCCCAGGCACCUGCUGGCUGUGCUAUGCUCUGCAACACAGGGCUGCCGGCCAGGGUGGGGCCACAGUUAGUCUCAUUCCACCUGUGCCGUCUCUGACUCACUGCACUGUCCGAGUGGGCAGAAGGUAGGUGCCGGCUCCAGGGCCAGGGGACACUUAGCAACUGCUCAGAAUCUCCCAAAGGUGGCUUUUCCUCAAGGUACCAUCUCCUUCCUCCUUUCACCAGCUCUCCCAAAAACAGGUGUGAGAACUAGUCCCUUGAUGUGAGAGAUACUGUGAAGUUCUUGCUUUAUUUUAAACCCCAGCUUAAUCAGAUGAUUUUUCUUGUGGGCUAAGCACUUUCAUCCUUUGCCUCCUUGAGAAAAUUGUCAAAGCUGAAGGUCUCCUUGCCAAUGAAUCAAUUUCUGCCUCUAGCACCUUUUCCCUCUUUCACUUCCAUUGUGCAAAUAACCAGUUCAUGCUCUGGGUCGGUUGGCUGAGCAGACAGGCAGGUGGCACCUGCACAGGUAAGUGGUUGGGAUGAAAGUCAGGUCCUUUUUUCUCCCUCCACAACCAGAACCCCAAUUAACCUGGUACCCACAAGUUCCCGCCCUGGCUAGCGCCCUCCAACUGGGCCCAUUUUGCAUUCAAUGCGAUUCCAAAAACAAAAAAAAGUGUUUCACGUAAGCCCUUAAGAUACAACAAGAGUAGGGCAGAAUUUUAAUACUGGUUUUGCUUUAAGACGCAAGUAAGUCUCUUUUGGGAGCCAGCAUGAAGUGGGGGCACCACCACUAUCCAACUGCAGAUGGGGUUGGCUCCAGGCAACAGGUGGAUGCUGGACGGGGAAACCAGGAAAGGCUGGGCCCUACAAGGAGCCCACCAUGACCUGCAAAGGCCAAGGAGGCCAAGCACUCAGGAACUGCAGGAAGACAGGCUGUAGGGGACAUCAGGAGAACUAAGUGUCUUAGUCUGUUUUGUGUUUCUAUAACAGAACACCACAGACUGGGCCGUUUAUAAAGAAAAAUUUAUUUUGCGCAGUUCUGGAGGUUGGGAAGUCCAAAGUCGAGUGGCCGUAUCCGGUGAGAGCCCUCCUGCAGCAUCAUCCCAUGACGGAAGGUGUCCCAUGGUGAGAGAGCACGUAUACCAGCUCAGGUCUCCCUUCCUUUUCUCAUAAGGCCACAUCCCCCAUCGGGUCCCAUCCUGAUGUCCUCAUCUAAUCCUAGUUACCUCCCAAAGGCCCCACCUCCAAUCAACAUGUGACUAUGGGGAGUAAGUUUCCAGCCUAUGAAACUGGGGGACACAUUCAAACCACAGCACCAAGCAAGCUGGAGCAGCCAAGAGGAAGCCACAUGUUCCUGCAGGGCAGGGCAGCCUCCACCAUGCAGGGCUGGGACAGGCCAGGGCAGUGAGGGCUCAUGGGGGCCGCACCCACGCCAGCUCCUGCAGCACCAGCCUCUGGCCAGCUGUGUGCCUGGAGCAGAGGGGAGCAGGACCCACGUCCCAGUCCCCCACAUCCCAGAUCUCACCGAAGAGAUCAACUAGCCUAGGGCCAGGCCAGUAGGAGAGGACCUUGUCCAUUUUCUCCAUGAAAAGUCAACAUUUAUCUCUCCAAGUACAAGUCACUUCCUAAUCUUGAGAUGUGUGGAAACAAGCUCUUUAUGCUGAAAAUCAACUUCUACAUUUUAGUUCUGAGAUGUGAUUCUGCCAGCCAUGGUGGACGAGGAGGAUGGUAGGGACUUAGCUAGAGUAGCACGUCCUCACUAGACAGGGGUGGGUGGUGUGGGGAGGUGGGGGGCUUGGCCUUAGCCUGAGUGUGACGUUCAGCCUGCAUCUUGAGCACAGUGAGAGCCUGAGCCACUGCACCACUGAAGAUGCUUAGAAGAGAGACCACAGCAGGCGAGGAGGCUUCCCAGGGGUCUGCGCUGACAAACCAGGGAUGAGGGUGGCCAGCUGUGCAUGAGCCCCCCAGCGCCCAUGCAGGCGUCCCCACCUUCACCACCUAAGUGUGGUCACGCACCCAGGGAGAGCUUUCAACCUGGCUCUCUCAAGUGUGUUUCUAAACACUAGAGCCAGGAAUCCUGUCCUGUGGGUCCCUGAAACAUAACCGGUGAGCCCAAGAUCUCCUCGGAGAAACAAGGCUCCCCUUAGGGAGGGCCCAGGAACGUGGGGGCCUCUGUGAGGCAGAGGGUCCCAGAGGGUAUGACCGUUUCUGCAGAAUGGUGGCCACUCUGCAGAAACAAAAUCACAGCCCAGGAAGAGCUGCCAAAGUGGGGGCCAGGGGAGCCGGAGAGGGGGACUGAGCCAGAUGCCUGCAGAGCCGUGGCUCACAGCCUCUAGGAGGUACGCCCAUGAAUGUUUCAGAACACAUUUGAGGACUGACGUAUGUGACCAACUUUUUCUUUUGUUAAGCAAGGAUUUUUAAUCACCAUUACUGGAUUAAAGAAAAAACAUUUUGGCUGGGUGCAGUGGCUCACACCUUUAAUCCUAGCACUUUGGGAGGCUGAGGCAGGCGGAUCACUUGAGGUCAGGAGUUUGAGACCAGCCUAAGCAACAUGGCGAAAUGCCAUCUCUACUAAAAAUACAAAAAUUAGCCAGGCCUGAUGACACGCACCUGUACACCUGUAGUCCCAGCUACCUGGGAGGCUGAGGCAUGAGAAUUGCUUGAACCUGGGGAGGCGGAGGUUGCAGUGAGAUGAGAUGGUGCCACUGCACUCCAGCCUGGGUGACAGAGUGAGACUCCAUCUCAAAAUAAAUAAAUAAAUGACAUUUUAAUACCACAAUUAGGAUAAUUUCAGAAUAAAAAUUUUUUUUCUUUAAAACUUUGUAGAAAAUCCCACACACCCAAUUUGGCCUUGUCUGGGAAAUGUGAGGAUUCCUGUCUCCUGGGACAGACAGUCUCACUGCCAGGCAUCCUCCCCCUGCAGUGAUUCACAUCCUACAAUGUCUGCCCUGAUGUGUCAAUUGUAGAGUAGGUCCCUCAUGGAGGCCCAGAGGCCCCAGCCCAGAGCCCGUCUGUCAGUCAUUGGCUGAGAGUGGUUGGGACAGGUGACCCCGCAGUUGAGGCGACCCCCCACGAUCUCUGGAAAAGGCAGCUGAGCCCCAGUUGCAGCAGGUUGGGGGAGAUGGUGCUGCCACAGCACAAAGGACCUAGCCCCAGUGGCACCCACCACUGUCAGAACUCUCCACUGAGGGCCAGGGUGGAUCUUUCCUCCCACAUCCAAGCGCAUCUGACAUCUUCACCUUGAAUCCUGAGUUUCUCUCUUAACUCUGUCUCACUUUGUCAUGAACAAACUCUUUCUUGAAAGUUGUAUUUCUCUGGGGCCAGAAAGGCGAGGAAAGAGGCGCUUUCUCCUGGGAGGUGGGCCUCGUGUGUCCCUGUCGUGGCUGAGAGUGACUGCCCCAGCACCUAUGAAGAAAGCCCAGAGACUCUGGAGGCUCAGCUGGGAUAACGCCUGGCGUGCUCGGGGGUCAUGGCCACCGCCUGGACUCUGGAAAAAUGGGAAAAAUGCUCUUGGCAGACAGCGGGGCAGUCAGGAGGGAGCUGGCCCCACCAGCCCAGGCAACGCCCAAGAGCUGUCCUCCCACUCGGCUCCAGGAGACGUUUAAAUGGGGCCUGACUCCCCCAUCUCUGAUUUAAAAGAUAACCAGAAGCAGCAGAGAAAACAUCUGAAGUGCUUCCUGGACACACCUGUUAGGAAGUUUCUGCAAGAACCCAGGUAAGAGCUGGACUAAGCGGGGGUCCGUGGGUGGGAGGAGGGAGAACGCCUGCCUGGGCAUUUACAGAGAUGAGUUUGCAGAGAUAAUGAUGCCAGGGUUUCAGCCCCAGCCCCAGGAAGAGAACGGCAGCAGGAAAAGUUAGAGAGGAGAGGGAGCAGGAGGUGGAGAGCUCGGCCCCUCCUUCGCUGCUGCCCUCUGGGUGACGCUCAGCGGAGGCGCCACGUAGCAGCUGCGAGAGCCCCGAGACAACCUCUGCACUGUUUAUGGGAUCGCAUUAGGGGAGCAGCGGCCCUGCAUGACCCCACAGGUGAGCAGGACACCUCAUCAUAGGGUAGGCACGUGAGCAGACUCACCCUCACACAGCUGCCUUCAGGGCUGCCCAGGUCAGGUGCUCAGAACACAAAAGAAAGUGAGACAAAGUCGCCACCCUGGAGUUUACGAGCUGGCGUGGGAGACAGGCUGGCACUGAGGAUGACAGUGGAGAGAGAUCGGGCUGGGAAGAACCGGAGGCGCUGGGGAAGCCGGGUCAGCAGGGAGACCCCAGCAGAGUGGGAGCCGGAGGACGGCGGCGACUGCAGCCCGACUGUUUCAGGUGGCGUCCUCGUCACGAGAGGAGCUUGAGCGGGUCGUGGCCUUCCUGGCAACCUGCCUACAGAGAAAACGAUUGCUGGGUGCAGAUGUCUCGAACAUUUAUUGCAUUCCACGUUGUCAGUCAAUAAAACAGCUUUGCGAGCGUAAUACUGACAAAAUCAAGUUCAGGCGGUAAGCCCCAGGGCUUCCAAGAAAAGUGGAUCGGGGGGCUUGCUCAGCUCUGGUAUCCAGGGGGGGCCACUGCCUGGUUCCCAGGCAAAGGAGUACAAACUGCCGGGAGAAACAAGGACCCUGCAGGAAGAAGGGACCUGCCCGACUUGUUCCCCCGCACCCACAUCAGGAAUUUUCCCAGAAAGCCAUCCACUUUGUUAGAGACAAAAUAAAGGUCAUUUGGAGAAAAACCUGCCAGCAGCUGCUGCUGCUUGAAAAUAGAAAAGAUUUUAAAAGUAGCAGUGUUGGGAGGCCAAGGCAGGCAGAUCACCUGAGGUCAGGAGUUCGAGACCAGCCUGGCCAACAUGGCGAAACCCCGUCUCUACUAAAAAUAGAAAAAUUAGCUGGGCAUGGUGGUGAGCACCUGUAAUCCCAGCUACUCGGGAGGCUGAGGCAGGAGAAUCACUUAAACCUGGGAGGCGAAGAUUGCAAUGAGCUGAGAUUGUGCCACUGCACUCCAGCCUGGGCAACAGAGCAGGACAUCGUCUCAAAAAAAAAAAAAAAAUGCAGCAGUGGUUUGAAAUCAUGCAUUUUUAUGUGUUAUCCUCAAACAUCUGAGGGAGAUAAGAAAGAAUAUACCACGGAUGAGAAUAUUUAUAAUUAUCAGAAAAAAAACUGCCUCCUAGGAACAAUCCUGUGAGCUCCAUCAUCAAAUCUGAUUCAGAAGCCUCCAAAUCCCCUACUUGCCCUGGCAGCUGCUACCCACCUCACAGCUGUCCUUUGCAGAUUACUACAAAUGUUCUCUUAAAUAUUCAUUUAUCCCCCAGCAUUGACAGGUGAGGAAUGAUGUUGCUUGGGCUAUUUCUGCCCCAGGUGGCCCCUGUAAAGCCGGGACCUUGGAUCCCCUCUCUCAUAUGAGCCUCCUAAGCGGGCUCCCAGCUCCUGGAUGGGGUCUUCUCAGGGCCUAGGGCCCCCUCAUCUGCCCAGAACAAACUUCCUCAUCCAGAUGUCACCAUUCACUUCCCCAGGUCCUCCUUCCCACCAGACAUGAGGAUUUUAACUUGAUCAUCUCUGCAAAGACCUUAUCUUCAAAUACAGUUACAUUCUGAAGUCCUGGGGGUUAGGGCUGCAACACCCGAAUUGGUGGAGACAAAAUCCAGCUCCUGACAAUACCGCGUAUGAUAGCUGCGUCUCUGCCUGCAGUACUGUUUUCCAGGGAAAGCAUCUUUGAGUGUAUUCAGAAAGCCUCUCUCUGGGGCCAGGCCUUGCAGAGAAUCCUUCAGAAACUGGACAACCCCACCCAAGGCAGUCAGUGGGGAGGACACAUUUGGUGCCUCAUUGGUCCCUGGAUCUGCCUCACAGUCCUCAAUGUUCCUCCUCGUUCCCUCUACUCUUUCUCCUCUUUGGUUGACCUUGAAGCUCAUUCCUGGUGAAGGCCCCGUGGGAGCAGUGCAAUGACAAGAGGAGCCUGUUUUCAAUAGCACCCUCACGCUCUCCAGGGGUCCAUUGGAGGCGCCUAUGACCUCCUGAUGCUGAGGAGCCUAGAGUGGGCAGCCCUCGGGCCCAGGCUCCACCUGGGUGAGGCCUGUUUUAUUAUCAAUACUCACCACAGUCAUUUGUGGGAGUGUAAUGCUCAUAUUCCCAUUUAAGAGAUGAAUAAACUGAGGCAAGGUGAAGUGACUCAGCUGAGGCCACACCACAGUUUAAUGGGGAAGCCAGGAUAAGAGCUGGCGGCUUCUAUGUCUGAUCUACACUCUGAUGGGAGGUCGUCAGAGAGCCAUGUAAACGGUGAGGAGGUGACAUGCUGGUCCCUUCCAUAAAAGCUGUUUUGCAAAAUUAAAACACACACACAGUAAAGAUCCAGAUUUAUGCAAGUGAGAGUGAGGGGCUGACUAUUUACCAGUCAACAGAUCUCCCCAAAUGGUUCUCUGCUUGGGGUUGAGAUGCUCCUGACCAGCAGGGCUUGGGGAGAGACAUUCUUGCUCCCCCUAGAGCUGGCUGACCCAUACCCAGGGGAUUCUGAGCACCAGGGGCUGGGAGCAGCAUGUACCACGUGUUUCCCAAGAGUUAGUCAUGUUUGCUCCUAAAACUUAUUGUAAUCGAGGAAUCUAAUUAAACAAUACACCAACUGAAGAAACAGUGCAAAAAGAAUGAGUGACUGUUUCUAUGAAAACUUAGAUGAACUACUUUGGAAAGAUUCAAUAAAAAGCAUGCCUAAAUACAUAUACUGGGGCCAGGAGCAGUGAUUCACACUUGUAACCCCAGUGCUUUGGGAGGCUGAGGUGGGAGGGUGGCUUGAGGCUAGGAGUUUGAAACCAGCCUAGGCAACAUAGCAAGACCCUGUCUCUACAAAAAAACAAAAAUUUUUCAACUGGUUGUGGCAGCACCUGCCUAUGGUCCCAGCUGCUCUGGAAGCUGAGGUGAGAGGAUCACUCGAGCCCAGGAGUUCAGGCUGCAGUGAGCCGCAAGUGUGCCACUGCACUCCACCCUGGGCAACAGAGCAAGACCCUGUCUCUAAAAAAAUAAAUAAAAUAUGUACAUCCAGAUACAGUAUUAUGUGUGGGCGAGACACCGGUAAAAGAUGGAAACAAUCAUAAAAGUCAGGCAGGAUUCCACCUAAGAUUGUCUUUAGCUCUCAAUCUACCUUGUUUUAAAAUUUUUUUAUGAGCCAUAAAAGACCUAAGACUAGUCUUUAUUGUACAACUUGAUGAAUUCUGAUCCUGUGGCCAUACAGUUCAAAAUAGAGCAUUCUAGCACUCAGAAAGCUCCCUAGUGCCCUCAUCAGUUGGUGCCUGUCAACCCCAAGGAUGUCAUAGUCAUUUGGACACCCCUGGCACAGUCAUUCCACUUAGAGACUCUGCCAGAAGUCCCAGAUCAUAAUCAGGAGUGAAAUUUACACAAGAAGGGGCCGGAAGCCCUAGUGAGUAGUGAACUCAACUCCAAAAUAACCCUACACUAAAAAUAAAACUGGAACGUACUUUUUAUGUUUGAAAUUUAAAUAAGAUAGAUGUAUUUUUGUUAAAUCGUUCCAACCUGUACAACUUUUCUAUUCAUCAGCCAACUAGCCAGAGAAAGGGGGUUUCUGCUGCUGUCAGAGUAUAAAAAUGAGCUGCAAUUUUCAAAAUUUGACCUCAUCUAACUUUCUCCAGCUAUGCCAUUCCUGGAGCAUCCUCAGUCCAGUGCCUGAUGCGUAAAACAUAAUAAAAAGGUGACCCCACCACACCAAACACUGGGGUGUCUGUAGCAGUGACCGCGUCUCACGGGGAUUUUGUCUGAAUGCCUGUUCCUCCACUCGCCUAAUCCAUGGAGGUCAGGGAACCACGCACCUCAACACACACAGUAGCUUCUUAAUAAAUGUUGGUCCAUGGAAGUCAAGUCAGCCCUUAAAGGGAAGGGUAGGAAACAGGUGUGCAGGGAGGGAGGAGUAAAGCUGCCCUGGGCCUGCCAGGCCUGGGGCCACCCCGCAGGCAACUCUGGAGCCAGACAGCCUCGGGGCACCCCAGGCUGAGGGAAGGAGCUGGGCACAGCCCUGUGUCCCCGUCUCUCAGCCAAUGGAGGAGGAGCUUGGUCAGUCCCUACAAAGGUUGCAGUGGAGACCCUGCACCAGGGUACCCACCUACCCAUGAAGGCACAGGAGGAACAUUCUGGAAAUGAGGAGGCCCUUGUGAAGCCACAGAGGUGUGGAACAGCAUGGCACAGCACCCCUGCAAUUCCCAUACCCUGUGAGGACCCCACAGUCCUCAUCUGUCCCUGGAUGUAGUGCAGUGGUUGUCCUCGGAGUCGCUGGGGUCUCUGCCUGCUGGCUCUGCCCUAGUCCCGAACUGGACGCCCUGGCU